UCAGGACGAACGCUGGCGGCGUGCCUAACACAUGCAAGUCGAACGAGGUCCAUCCUUCGGGAGAAGACCUAGUGGCGAACGGGUGAGUAACACGUGAAGAACCUGCCCCGAAGACCGGGAUAACCCUCCGAAAGGAGAGCUAAUACCGGAUACCCCCACCGAACCGCAUGGUUUGGUGAGGAAAUGGAUUCCGCUUCGGGAGGGCUUCGCGGCCUAUCAGCUAGUUGGUGGGGUAACGGCCCACCAAGGCAUCGACGGGUAGCUGGUCUGAGAGGACGAUCAGCCACACUGGGACUGAGACACGGCCCAGACUCCUACGGGAGGCAGCAGUGGGGAAUCUUGCGCAAUGGGCGAAAGCCUGACGCAGCAACGCCGCGUGGGGAUGAAGGCUCUCGGGUUGUAAACCCCUUUCAGCAGGGACGAAUCAAGACGGUACCUGCAGAAGAAGCCCCGGCUAACUACGUG
This 465-nucleotide ribosomal RNA is filed under the name uncultured bacterium. RNAcentral's name for it is "bacterial SSU rRNA". It matches the Rfam family "Bacterial small subunit ribosomal RNA", at positions 24 to 507 of the family's 1533-position model. The record is from RNAcentral.